This is a long non-coding RNA of Hyla sarda, 858 nucleotides long. RefSeq lists it as uncharacterized. The record is from RefSeq and is a predicted model, not a curated record. NCBI's taxonomy places the organism in Eukaryota, Metazoa, Chordata, Amphibia, Anura, Hylidae. The transcript is spliced from 4 exons.
UAACUGCCACCGGUCAGCGCUCCCUUGUGUGCCACUCAAAUGCACCCGCGCCGACCCCUGGCCUAGGCUAUAAGGAGAUUGCCAAGACCCCGAUACUGAGCUGCAGCACAGUGAGCAAGACCAUACAGCAGUUUUACAGGACAGGUUUCACUCAGAACAAGCCUUGCCAUGGUCGACCCAAAAAUUAUGAGUGCACAUGAUCAGCGUCAUAUCCAGACUUUGUAUAACAACAUAUGCCGCGCACUGCAUCAAAUUGAUCUGCAUGUUGUCGUCCCAGAAAGAAGCCUCUUCUAAAUAUAAUGCACAAGGAAGCCAGCAAACCAUUUAGUAAAGAGAUUCAGACUAAGGACAAGGAUAGUGGAACCAUGUGCUGUGGUUAGAGGAUACUAUAAAAGUUAUUUGGUUCAGAUCGUGUUAAGUGCGUUUGGCAGCAACCAGAGACUGGGCCGCAGUGCAGUAUUACAACCUAACCCCAAAGACACCACCAAGAUGACAACUGCCUUGCUAAGGAAUCUUAGGAUAAAGGUGAUUGUCAAGCAUGUCUCCAUACCUAAACCCUAUUGAGCAUCUGUAGGACAUUCUCAAACAGAAGGUAAAAUCCCAUUAAUAGCUUUAGAUUAAAAAACAAAAAAGCCAAAUAGAUCUGCUAUAAAGGUAUAAGAAAUUCAUCAGCACAGAAUUUUGAACCUAUAUAAAAGAAAUGAAAAACGUGAUAUUCAAAAGAAACCUGAUCAGUGAAGUGAUAGCUGGAAAAAAAACCUACAGGAUAAGCUAGAAAGGAAAAUUGCUAUCUUACAAAGUAUAAUAUUUCACUGAGUAACAUCAUUGCGAUACUGUAAGACAUGGAGUAGAGAAAUC